UACCGUUCCGGGCCUCGCACUUAGUUGGAUGACGCCUUAUGUCAGUAUUAGUCUUGUUGGGUGGGGUAAAGGCCUACCAAGGCGACGAUCUGUAGCUGGUCUGAGAGGACGAUCAGCCACACUGGGACUGAGACACGGCCCAGACUCCUACGGGAGGCAGCAGGUGGGGAAUAUUGCACAAUGGGCGAAAGCCUGAUGCAGCAAUGCCGCGUGUGUGAAGAAGGCCUGCGGGUUGUAAAGCACUUUCAGUAGGGAGGAAACAGUAGCCGGUUAAUAUCCGGUUGCCUUGACGUUACCUACAGAAGAAGCACCGGCUAACUCUGUG
Molecule: ribosomal RNA, 325 nt
Filed under: uncultured bacterium
Lineage: Bacteria
Description: bacterial SSU rRNA
Rfam family: Bacterial small subunit ribosomal RNA
Source: RNAcentral